UGAACGCUGGCGGCGUGCUUAACACAUGCAAGUCGAACGAACCUUCGGGUUAGUGGCGGACGGGUGAGUAACGCGUGAGAAUCUGCCCUCAGGAGGGGGAUAACGGUUGGAAACGACCGCUAAUACCCCAUAUGCCUACUGGUGAAAUGAAUUUCGCCUGAGGAUGAGCUCGCGUCUGAUUAGCUAGUUGGUGAGGUAAUGGCUUACCAAGGCUUCGAUCAGUAGCUGGUCUGAGAGGAUGAUCAGCCACACUGGGACUGAGACACGGCCCAGACUCCUACGGGAGGCAGCAGUGGGGAAUUUUCCGCAAUGGGCGAAAGCCUGACGGAGCAACGCCGCGUGAGGGACGAAGGCCUCUGGGCUGUAAACCUCUUUUCUCAAGGAAGAAGAUAUGACGGU
RNAcentral lists this ribosomal RNA (399 nucleotides) under uncultured Prochlorococcus sp. RNAcentral describes it as "bacterial SSU rRNA". It matches the Rfam family "Bacterial small subunit ribosomal RNA", at positions 30 to 476 of the family's 1533-position model. The record is from RNAcentral. Lineage: Bacteria; Bacillati; Cyanobacteriota; Cyanophyceae; Synechococcales; Prochlorococcaceae.